Molecule: non-coding RNA, 517 nt
Organism: Austrofundulus limnaeus
Lineage: Eukaryota; Metazoa; Chordata; Actinopteri; Cyprinodontiformes; Rivulidae
Source: the annotation of a RefSeq genome assembly
UUUCUGACUCAGAGUGAGAGAGUGAAGUCUGUCAGUGUUGGAGGGACUGUGUCCAUCAGCUCCACAGGAAGUUCAGAUAUUGGUUCUGAUCUCAGUUGGUACCUUCAGAAACCUGGACAGCCUCCCAAACUUCUUAUAUACAGAGUUUCAAAUCUGUUCUCAGGAACUCCAUCCAGGUUCAGUGGCAGCAGAUCUGAUUCUCACUACACUUUAACCAUCAGUGGGUUUCAGGCUGAAGAUGUUGGAGAUUAUUACUGUUUGGGUUAUCAUAGUGAUGCAACGUUCACACAUCCUGUGAGUUCAAGCCUGCAGGACUCAGAUCUGUCAGUCAACACAGCAGAAACAACAAGCACCAUGACUCUCAUCACCAUCCUCAUCUGGACUCUGCUCUGCUGCUGCUUCACAGGAUGCAGCGCUCAGGUGACUGUGGAUCAACCUGCAGUACAGACAUUUACUGCAGGAGACACUGUUACUCUGACAUGUAAGACCAGCAAGUCUGUUGCAGGUUGUGCUGGUG